Globicephala melas (long-finned pilot whale) is the source of this 4351-nucleotide long non-coding RNA. RefSeq lists it as uncharacterized. Lineage: Eukaryota; Metazoa; Chordata; Mammalia; Artiodactyla; Delphinidae. The record is from RefSeq and is a predicted model, not a curated record.
GUGGCUUCACAGUACAUACCCUUCCCCUUUCCCUCGCCCCAAGAAGAGUGACAUAUUCUCUUACGGAAGCCUGCUUUGACAGUUACUGAGUUAGCGAUUCAGGAAAAUGUUCAUAUAAUUUCUCAUUAGUACGUAGGAUGACAAAAAAAAUGAGAAUUACUGGUCUGGAGUCUACGCCUUCCAUUAAUUCAGCUUCAAAUCAUGUUAGCUUUUUUGGAAGUUGAAUCACACUGUUGGGCAGGUAUUGAGCAUAUUGUUGACUGAAAUCUUAAGUUUUUUCUAAAGGUUUUGUUGCUAAGCCAGAUCUUUGCCCCAGAAAUUGGACUGGUCAUUUAUUGCUUUUCAUUAUAUUAUUACAGCGUGCUGAGGUCAUUUUACCUCCUAAUUCUGUCAUCCAGUUUGUUACCUAUAAGCAUAGGAACUGUGUCUAAUUUUGUUUUAUUGCUAUAUUUCUUGCAUCCAUGACAAUUUUUUAUUUACAGUGAAUUCCAUCUACAGCUUUGAUAACCACCCGUAUCUUCAUGAAAAUCACUGAAAAAAUGAGAACUAGACAGAUCUGAGUACAGUCAGUCUCUUCGAGCAUACCAGCCACCACCUCCCAUGACGGGUUAUAAUCAGGACCCAUGAGGCAUCAUGGUCAGGCAACAGGGGAGAACAACACCUGUGUUCAAUUGGCAGAUAAAGUGACUGCAUUCAAAGCCAAACUGGAAUUAUGGGUGCCCCGGGGUUUAAUUCCUCUGCGUCAUGAGGCUCGAACUCACUGUUAGCAGCUCGGUACUCUCAAACGAGUGCUUCACCCUAGACUUCAGGUAACUCUUACUAGUGUCCAUUCUCUCCUUUUCAGUUCAAGGAUUCGUGUUCUUGAUAGAAGAUACACAAAAUAGGUUUUGAAAAAUUCUGCGUUCACUUUUUCAUGCAUCAGCCUUAUUGUAAUGAUUCAGAGCUGCGACCGAGUCUUUGCCUUUUCUGACUCUGACUCUAACCCAAAAAGCCCUUUUGGUUAUCAAAUUAUAUGCAUUACAUAGAAAACUUCCUAAGAAAAGCAUCUUCAUAUCUAGUGGGAUUUGGGUAUUUUUUCAAACCUUGAAAAGAAAUUGGCCAUCACCUAAAAAGUCAAGUAAGUAACUUCAGUGAAAAAUAUAGAUCUAAGCAAAGGAAGUUAUAUAAAUUAGUGGGUUACCUCCUUUAAAGGUUUCCAGAUUUUUUUUUUGAUUGCCUUAUAAAGCUUUCUUUUUUUCAAUUGAAGUACAGUUGAUGUACAGCAUUAUGUUACAAGUGUACCAUAUAGUGAUUCACAAUGUUUAAAGGUUAUAAGUUAUAAAAUAUUGGCUAUAUUCCCCAUGUUGUACAAUAUAUCCUUGCAGCCUAUUUUAUAUGUAAUAGUUUGUACCUCCUAAUCUUCUACCACUACAUUGCCCCUCUUCCCUUCCCUCUCCCCACUGGUAACCAUUAGUUUAUUCUCUAUAUCAGUAAGUCUUCUUCUUUGUUAUAUUCACCAGUGUGUUGUAUUUUUUAGAUUCCGUAUAUAACUGAUAUCAUACAGUAUUUGUCUUUCUCUGUCUGACUUAUUUUACUUGGCAUAAUACCCUCCAAGUCUAUUCAUGUUGUUGCAAAUGGCAAGAUUUCUUUUCUUUUUCAUGGCUGAAUAGUAUUCCAUUGUGUGUAUGUGUGUAUAUAUACACAUACAUAUACGUGUGUGUAUGUAUGUGUGUGUGUGUGUGUGUGUGUAUAUAUAUAUAUAUAUCCUUUAUCCAUUCAUCUGUUGAUGGACACUUAGGUUGCUUCCAUGUCCUGCCUGUUGUAAAUAAUGCUGCUAUGAACAUUGAGGGUGCGUAUGUCUUUUUGAAUUAAGAGUUUUCAUCUUUUCCAGUUAUAUGCCCAGGAGUGGAAUUGCAGCAUCAUAUGGUAGCUCUAUUUUUAGUUUUUUAAGGACCAUCCAAACUGUCUUCCACAGUAGGGAAUUUACAUUCCUACCAACCACAUCCUUGCCAACAUUUGUUAUUUGUGUUCUUUUUGAUGAUGGCCAUUCUGACAGGUGUGAGGUGAUACAUCAUUGUGGUUUUGAUUUGCACUUCCCUCAUGAUUAGCAGUGUUGAAUAUCUUUUCCUGUGGCUGUUGGCCGUCUGCAUUUCCUCUUUGGAGAAAUGUCUAUUCAGGUCUUCUGCACAUUUUUUAAUCAGGUUUUUUUUUUAAUGUUGAGUUACAUGAACUGUUUAUAUAUUUUGGAUAUUAACCCCUUAUCAGCCAUAUCAUUUGCAAAUAUUUUCUCCCAUUCAGUAGGUUGUCUUUUCAUUUUGUUUAUGGUUUCCUUUGCUAUGCAAAAGCUUUUAAGUUUAAUUAGGUCCUGUUUGUUUAUUUUUGGUUUUAUUUCCUUUGCUUUAGGAGACAGAUCCAAAAAAAAUACAGAUUUCUUUAAUAAGUGGUGACAAUUUCACCCAAAAAAAUUUACCAAAUAUCUACCAAAAAAAUAAUAUGUUAAAUUGUGUUUAGCAAUUAUAAAGUGGUUGAUACUAUAUUAUAUGAUUUUCCUGUGUCAAAAUAAGCAUGGUAUUUUAAAGCGAGGUAUUUGAAAGGUAUUUACUUACUUUGAGUAUUUGGGACUCUUUGAGGCAAAGAUAUGACCACAAGCAUUUGACAUGAAAAAGAGAAGCUCAAAUGAUUCAAACGGUAAAGCUGGAGCAGAGCCAAAAUGAACAAGAAAAGAAGGAAGGCACCUCUGAGGCUGCUACAUGGAGGAAGGAAACACCAGAGGAAAAGAUUUGCUUCAUGAAGAAAUGGCCUCACACUGAUGAUAAUCUGGAAAUUAAGCCAUCAGCCAGAUUAAUAGAAGCCUGGAGGUUCUCUGACGAGCUUGUGGAAUAACAAAGCCAGUUUUUAUUGUGGAAGUUAUCACUACGGAGAUAGCGCUGGCAAGACCGCAGCUAACUGGGAGCAGUGAUUGAUUUCAGCAAGACUUGAACCAAGGAAACCAGGUCUAUUCUGCCCCGGACUGGAGCACAUCAUCUAAGGCAGUUCUGAGCACUGAAGGGAAAUCAUAUUGAAGAUUUCAACCUUGAAGUUAAUUGCGAAGUUUGCUGCAGACGGCGAAUGUUUCAAAGAGACGAAAAACCGCAGAAGCAGAAGGAGAGUAAGCCGGUGGACUCUGCACAAAAGGCAAGCAGUGCAGACACUGCUGCUCUAACUUCAAAGGGCAGCAGACACGAGGUCCCCUAAGACCCGCCUGCUCGUGGGUCAUGGUUCUGCCUGAUCCGCACUCGACAGACUCUUCCUCCUCUGAAAUCCUUAUAACGCCUGCUUUCUGGGGCUUCUGAUCACGGAACGCUAGUGCGGAAAAGCACUUCAGAGGGCAGGAUUCUGGACCAAACCUCUUACAGACCAACAGAGUCCCGGAGAGGUUAAACAACUUGCCCUCCUACGCACUUGAUCUCAAAGUCACUCAAGUGUUCUCCGGAGGUGGGGGAAGUCCAUGUCUUAGUUUUCUUUUUCUCUUUGCCAGAGCAAUGCAACGUAGGCAGCACUAAAUAAGUAUGUUGUGCUGAAUCUCGAAAGUAUUCAAAGUUCCAACUACACCAAAAUAAUCCACUGUGAAUGUUACAUCAACAUGGAUAUGUGCCUUAAGUACACAGUCUUAAGAUAUAUUUACCAUAUGUUACAGGUGGAUCCAAAGGCUAGAUAAUUAUAAAUCUUUCUAAGUAUCCCCAGGAUACUUUACAUUUAUCAAGUGCUUUGCAAUAUGUAAGUUACUCUUUCGAGUCUCACAGUUGUUCCCAGGAGGUAGCUGGAGAUCUCAUCCUCACGUUACAUGUGAGGAAACGAGGGAGACUUGGAAAACUUAAGACUUGCUUGUGUUGAGCCUUUAAGUAGCCAAUAUAGGAUUUGACCCACACAUGAGGCCCAGUUCAUAGCCCUCUCCUCUAGACCAUGGCGCCUCGAAUGCCUAAAGAUUUUCUUCAACAACAAAAGCCUUUGCUUCUUUGAUUCUUCUACAGUAUAAAAGAAAAUUAAAGAAACUAGCAUUUUUUUCCCUUAACAGAGGGCUUACAAACCCCUGCCCUAUUGUUUGACCUACCGGGGCUUAAUGCAUACCUGAAACUCUUUCUUGCUCCAAAAGCUUAGUGUAAAGAUUGAAUAUCUGUUCCUGGACUUUGCACACAGAUCGUUUAAUCUUUUCCCUGCGGGUCACCAUGUAAGUGAGGUUCCGAACCUAGAACGUAGAGAAUAAAGAUUCUAAGUAAGCAAUACAUUAUAACAGGACUUUGGUGUUUUUUUGUUUUUUUCCUCUUUACCUGAGAAAAAUUUGUCCUACUAGGUCCUUGAGUGACUUUUGAUAUCCAAAUGUACUUUAAACAUU